GUGUCAGCAGCCGCGGUAAAACGUAGGUGGCGAGCGUUAUCCGGAUUUACUGGGCGUAAAGCGUGUGCAGGCGGUUCAACAAGUGGUGUAUGAAAGGUUUCGGCUCAACCGAGAUAGGUUAUGCCAGACUGUUGAACUAGAGUGUGAGAGAGGGACGUGGAAUUCCGGGUGUAGUGGUGAAAUGCGUAGAGAUCCGGAGGAACCCCAGAGGCGAAGGCGGCGUCCUGGCUCACAACUGACGCUCAGACACGACAGCAUGGGGAGCGAACGGGAUUAGAAACCCCAGUAGUCC
This 292-nucleotide ribosomal RNA is filed under the name uncultured bacterium. RNAcentral describes it as "partial 16S ribosomal RNA". It matches the Rfam family "Bacterial small subunit ribosomal RNA", at positions 505 to 796 of the family's 1533-position model. The record is from RNAcentral.